UACGGGGGGUGCGAGCGUUGUCCGGAAUCACUGGGCGUAAAGGGCGCGUAGGCGGGCUGUCAAGUCUGGGGUGAAAUGCCACGGCUCAACCGUGGAACUGCCUCAGAUACUGACGGCCUCGAGGAAGGUAGGGGCAUGCGGAACUGUAGGUGGAGCGGUGAAAUGCGUUGAUAUCUGGAGGAACACCGGUGGCGAAGGCGGCAUCCUGGACCGACACUGACACUGAGGAGCGAAAGCCAGGGGAGCAAACGGG
RNAcentral lists this ribosomal RNA (253 nucleotides) under uncultured bacterium. Its description in RNAcentral is "partial 16S ribosomal RNA". It matches the Rfam family "Bacterial small subunit ribosomal RNA", at positions 524 to 776 of the family's 1533-position model. The record is from RNAcentral.